CCCUUAGAUGUUCUGGGCCGCACGCGCGCUACACUGAUGCAUUCAACGAGUCUAAAACCUGGUCUGAUAGGGCUGGGUAAUCUUUUGAAUGUGCAUCGUGAUUGGGAUAGAUGAUUGCAAUUCUUCAUCUUCAACGAGGAAUGCCUAGUAAACGCAAGUCAUCAGCUUGCAUUGAUUACGUCCCUGCCCUUUGUACACACCGCCCGUCGCUCCUACCGAUUGAAUGUUCCGAUGAAUACCAUGGACUGAGAGUAUGAAUGGGUUCGCCCAUUUCUGCUUCUCGGGAAGUGGAGUAAAUCUUAACAUUUAGAGGAAGGAGAAGUCGUAACA
This 330-nucleotide ribosomal RNA is filed under the name uncultured eukaryote. Its description in RNAcentral is "partial 18S ribosomal RNA". It matches the Rfam family "Eukaryotic small subunit ribosomal RNA", at positions 1470 to 1796 of the family's 1831-position model. The record is from RNAcentral.